UCUGGCUCAGGAUGAACGCUAGCUACAGGCUUAACACAUGCAAGUCGAGGGGCAGCAUGAAGUUGCUUGCAAACUUGAUGGCGACCGGCGCACGGGUGAGUAACGCGUAUCCAACCUUCCCCUUAGUAGAGGAUAGCCCGGCGAAAGUCGGAUUAAUACUCUAUGUUGUAUUUUGAGGACAUCUGACGAAUACCAAAGAUUCAUCGCUAAGGGAUGGGGAUGCGUCUGAUUAGCUUGUUGGCGGGGUAACGGCCCACCAAGGCGACGAUCAGUAGGGGUUCUGAGAGGAAGGUCCCCCACAUUGGUACUGAGACACGGACCAAACUCCUACGGGAGGCAGCAGUGAGGAAUAUUGGUCAAUGGGCGAGAGCCUGAACCAGCCAAGUAGCGUGCAAGGAAGACUGCCCUAUGGGUUGUAAACUGCUUUUAUCAGGGAAUAAAGUGCGGCACGUGUGCUGUUUUGUAUGUACCUGAUGAAUAAGGACCGGCUAAUUCCGUGCCAGCCGCCGC
RNAcentral lists this ribosomal RNA (510 nucleotides) under uncultured bacterium. RNAcentral's name for it is "bacterial SSU rRNA". It matches the Rfam family "Bacterial small subunit ribosomal RNA", at positions 18 to 518 of the family's 1533-position model. The record is from RNAcentral.